Long non-coding RNA from Gorilla gorilla gorilla (western lowland gorilla), 992 nucleotides. RefSeq lists it as uncharacterized. The record is from RefSeq and is a predicted model, not a curated record. The transcript is spliced from 4 exons. Lineage: Eukaryota; Metazoa; Chordata; Mammalia; Primates; Hominidae.
UUGCCUCAGCCUCCCAAAGUGCUGGGUUUACAGGCAUGAGCCACCGCAUCUGACUUUUCUUUUCUCUUGAGACAAAGUCUUGCUCUGUUGCCCAGGCUGCGGACAGUGGCAUGAUCACAGCUCACUGCAGCCUCAACCUCCUAGACUCGAGCAAUUUUCUCACUUCAGCCUCCUGAGUUGCUGGGACCACAGGUGCACGCACCACCCCCUGGCUUUUAUUUUUUUAUUUUUUUUAUUUUUUGGCAGAGACAGUGUCGCCUUAUGUUGCCCAGGCUGAACACCUGUGUCUCUUAACCUAAGAGCUGUCUCCAGCACAGGAUGCAAGACAGCCCCAACAAAGUGUUAGGGACUUAAAGCCACCAGAAGCUAUUCUUAACCAAUGGAAUACAGGAGUCAAUGGGAACAUCCUGUCCAGAGGAAAGGAUAUUUAAGGAGAAAGGAAGCAGCACAAGUUCGACUCAGCCAAGAAACAGAGGAAGGACAUCCCAAGCACGAAGUGGGGCACCGGUCUGUGUUCCAGCGAGAGGGUCUUGCUGUGUCUCCCAGGAUGGAGUGCAGUGGCAUGAUCAUAGCUCACCACAGCCUCCACCUCCUGGGCUCAAAUGAUCCUCCCACCUCAGCCUCCCAAGCAGCUAGGACUACAAGUGCACACCACCACCACAUCCAGUGGCAGCCAUAUUACAACUAUGAGGUUACAAGGUUGAGAAAAAAGCCGACACACUGAGGAUGGCAGAGUGAAGAGAUGGAAAGAAUAAGCGUCCUUGAAGAUAGUGUUGAGCCUCUGUAUCCACCAGCCCAGGACCACCUAUCUCUGGAUUUCUUGUUCUGUAAGAUAAUAAAUCUUUCCCCACAGAUCAUAAAAUCUAUGAAGCCAGAGUUUUUCUUGGAUUUUCAGGAGUGGUGAGGGGGUUGGUCUGUUUUAUUCAUUGCCAUAUCCCCAGCACCUAGAACAGUACCUGGAACAUAGUAAGUGAUAGGAAAAUGUUUGUAGA